MicroRNA precursor from Oryza rufipogon (brownbeard rice), 208 nucleotides. It matches the Rfam family "MIR807 microRNA precursor family". The record is from Rfam. Lineage: Eukaryota; Viridiplantae; Streptophyta; Magnoliopsida; Poales; Poaceae.
AACUACACUAUCAAUGAAUGGACUCACCCGCGGGAUGACGUGGUGUUUUACAUAGGACGAGGUCAUGGCAUCCUAUUACCAGCCAUCGCACGAAAUUAAUAGGAUAUGCCACGCAUCGCACGGAAAUUAAUAGGAUAUGCCACGUCAUCAUCCUAGAUGGAACAACCACGUCAUCUCACUGGUGAAUCCAUUCAUCGAUAGUGUAAUU